GACGAACGCUGGCGGCGUGCCUAAUACAUGCAAGUAGAACGCUGAAGGAGGAGCUUGCUUCUCUGGAUGAGUUGCGAACGGGUGAGUAACGCGUAGGUAACCUGCCUGGUAGCGGGGGAUAACUAUUGGAAACGAUAGCUAAUACCGCAUAAGAGUAGAUGUUGCAUGACAUUUGCUUAAAAGGUGCAAUUGCAUCACUACCAGAUGGACCUGCGUUGUAUUAGCUAGUUGGUGAGGUAACGGCUCACCAAGGCAACGAUACAUAGCCGACCUGAGAGGGUGAUCGGCCACACUGGGACUGAGACACGGCCCAGACUCCUACGGGAGGCAGCAGUAGGGAAUCUUCGGAAAUGGACGGAAGUCUGACCGAGCAACGCCGCGUGAGUGAAGAAGGUUUUCGGAUCGUAAAGCUCUGUUGUAAGAGAAGAACGAGUGUGAGAGUGGAAAGUUCACACUGUGACGGUAUCUUACCAGAAAGGGACGGCUAACUACGUG
Molecule: ribosomal RNA, 495 nt
Filed under: uncultured bacterium
Lineage: Bacteria
Description: partial 16S ribosomal RNA
Rfam family: Bacterial small subunit ribosomal RNA
Source: RNAcentral